Long non-coding RNA from Felis catus (domestic cat), 1208 nucleotides. RefSeq lists it as uncharacterized. NCBI's taxonomy places the organism in Eukaryota, Metazoa, Chordata, Mammalia, Carnivora, Felidae. The record is from RefSeq and is a predicted model, not a curated record. The transcript has 5 exons.
GGCUCGAACCCACAAACUGUGAGAUCAUUACCUGAGCCGAUGUCGUUCGCCCAACCGACUGAGCCACCCAGGUGCCCCUAUCGUGACAUAUUUUAAGUUAGUCAGGAAGCUUCUCGAUAUAAAACUUCUGUGCAUAGACUUUUGUGAGAGUAUCAUUUGUUCUUAAAUGCAAAGUAACUUUAUGUAGGAUUAAAUGUUAAGCUUUCAAAUACGCUUCACUAAAUUAGAGUGUAAUUAACUGCUUUAGAAGCUUUACUGGAAUAUGUCCUAAUGGGCAUUUUCUUCCCCCCAAAGCCCAUUUAUCUAUACUGAAAAUCUGUUGUAAUAGGUAGCCCUGCUCUAUGAUGACAUCCACAGUAUUUUAGGGAAGCCUUUCAACAGGUACACUAUUUAAGCCAGUCACUCUGAUACUGUGCAGUUUCAAAAGACUUUGAAUUUUGGAACUAUAGUUCCAUCUGACUCCAUCUUUGGCCCUCCAUCUUGUUCUGGCCUGUUCAGUGACUUCCUCUACGUGUUCCAUGCCCUGUGGAAAUUAAGGUAUAACCUGCCUGGAAUGUGGGAAGGCUUGUUCGGAGUUUGAUCGUUUCUAAAGUGGCACACAGAAGGCUCCACUUUAGAUAACCAGCAGAGAGCCUCUGGUGCACACAGAUGGUACCACUUUAGUUAACUACCCUGUGACCGCCCCACCAUGCCCCUUGCUCUAUAAAAACUCGGGAUUAAGGGCUGGACUCGGUGGAGAAUAGGGGUAGAAGAUAGCUCUGCAGUUACAGUGAGUCAUUUUCUGCCUGAUUCCCCACUGUCGGAUGAGAAGUUUAGAAACUUGGAGGUACCAAAAGGCAGAGGUGCUACAUAUGGAAAAGAUGGCCUAAUGUGGUGAGAAGGUCUGAGUUCUGUGUUCCGGUCUCAUGUCAGGAUGCUCUGUCACUGAUGAUGUGGACUUAGCAUUACGCAGGGAAUACAGGUGGCUCAUAGCCGAGGCACUGGAAGCCCAAAGAAGCAACAUCAAAUACUACAUCCCACAGAUUUUCAUGGCAGAAGCAGUUCCAGAUCUCGAGCAGCACAAGAAGUGGCACUCUGGAAGGAAACAGGACAUUAUGAAAAGGACCCACUGACAGUACAGAUAACAACUUGGAGAAAUUCCAGGGGCUACUGUGAGCUCAUUCAUGCACCUCAUCUGUUUUACCUUUCAAGCAUUCUUCUGCUCGAUA